Hordeum vulgare subsp. vulgare (domesticated barley) is the source of this 124-nucleotide non-coding RNA. The record is from Rfam. Lineage: Eukaryota; Viridiplantae; Streptophyta; Magnoliopsida; Poales; Poaceae.
GAAAUACUCCCUUCGUUUAGAAAUACUUGUUCUACAAAUAGAUGUAUCUGAAUUAAUUUUAGUUAUAGUUACAUUCAUUUUAUUCAUCUUUAAGACAAGUAUUUUCGAACGAAGGAAGUUUAUU